UCCCUGUUGGCCCAGUGGCUAAGACUCUGCACUCCCAAUGCAGAGGGCCUGGGUUCAAUCCUUGGUCAAGGAA
Molecule: transfer RNA, 73 nt
Filed under: Capra hircus (goat)
Lineage: Eukaryota; Metazoa; Chordata; Mammalia; Artiodactyla; Bovidae
Also listed under: 1 other name
Rfam family: tRNA
About the family: Transfer RNA (tRNA) molecules are approximately 80 nucleotides in length.
Source: Rfam by way of RNAcentral